This is a long non-coding RNA of Clupea harengus (Atlantic herring), 1353 nucleotides long. The record is from Ensembl. Lineage: Eukaryota; Metazoa; Chordata; Actinopteri; Clupeiformes; Clupeidae.
CAGGACGCUGAAGCCCAGAGGCACAGGGAAGAGGCAGAUAAAGACCCCCCACACAAGGCCCACUAUCAGCAGGCCCCUCGGGCUGGGGGAUCCCCCUGGAAAAUCCCAGCUCUGGCGGCAGGGCUGGUAACACAGCUGCUGUGGGUCUGUCUGGCUCCCGCUGCUCUCUGACUGUGUUGUUGUACACGCAAAGCACAUCUCCGGCAUGUUUUGUCGCAGUGGCUGUGCAAGCACUAGAGAUUGUUUGUUCUGGAUUUGCCUAGCCACCGUCUCGGUUUCGGUCGGGGGCCCGCACCUGCCAGGCAGCGCAAAGCGCUGAGAUGAAGGGCAGUUCUUCCCAUGAGGAGGGGGUGGUCGGGGUUGCUCGCUGCCUUGAGGCGCGACUGUACUGAGAACACAGCACCUGCCGGAUGUUGUUCCCGUGUCAACAGUAAGGGUUUGUGUCGAGACGCCACCUGUGGGAUUAGCGAGUGCACAGAGCACAGGUCUUGUUUGCAUUUUACCUCGGUUAUCCACGUCCGAGCUGUGCUCCCUCUCCCUCUCCUUCUCCGAAGAAAGUUUUGCGCUCUCUGGGCGCACAUCGGUCGCUCGCGUUUGCACUCGGCCAAGCUCCGUGCUUGACCGCUUUCUCUCCUUCCCCUCCGAUGAACGUUCAGCCUUCUCUGGGCAAACGUGGUCACCGGUGGGCCUGAGACUGAUGAGACGCAGGCUCCCGCAGAGCCCCAGAAGGACGGCGGCAGCAGGGAGUCCCCAGUAGGGCUCGCUGAAGUCUGGCCAGGCGGCAGAGAGCAGGCUGGGGAGACAACGCCAGAGGGAACCACCACUGCCGCCGGUGUCUCCCUCCAGGCAGAGCUCAACGCCCAGGUCCCAGUGGCGUUCAGCACGGAGCCCAGAGAUGCACCACGCCAACAGGCAGCUCAGGACACAGGCGACGUGGGCCAGAGCGCCCGCAGAGGAAGCGGUCCGGUUCUGCCGCUCCGCUCUCUUAGGCUCGGCCCUGGCACUGCCCUCUUCUCCCUUCGUCUGGAAACCCUUCCCUCCACACUCUCCCUCCAUCCCUCUGAGCUGGGGCCAGUGGAGAUGGAAUGCCAUCUCCACGGCAACCAGAGGGAUGAUGAGCAGCAUCACACCCCCGUAGGUGUGAGUGAGGAAGAGGAGGAAGCGAUGGGCGAUGCUGUCGGUGGAGACGGUAAAAGGCACUAGCCAGGAGCCAGACAGCCAAAGGAAAGCCAGGAACACUGCAACAUCAACACGCAAGCAGAAGCACAACCUGGUCAGACUGUGCACAGAAAAGAAACAUCACCUUCUACAACCAUGUCAACAUUCUACAACCAUGUCAGCCUUACAUCAGAG